AUGGAUAUCCUCGUCUCUGCAAUCGUGGGUGACCUCAUCAGCAGGUCUGCAUCGUUCGUGAUCAGCAAAUACUUCCAGCAGCAGCCUGACAUCAACAAGAUUCAACAGAGGCUACAGAGAGUCCUGCUGAGAAUCGACAUCAUCGUCGAGGAGGCCGAGGCGCGGGACAUCACCAACCAGGGGAUGCUCCGUCAGCUCAAGAUGUUGAAGCAAGGAAUGUACAGAGGCCGCUACGUUCUUGAUUCCUUGAGAUUCCAAGCUGCCCUCGACGAGGAGGAGGUAAGCCACUCAUCAUCAUCUGCGCUGUCUAAAUCCAGUUCAGCCAAACGGCUCCGUUUCUCUUGGGCCGGCGGUGGCAGCAGCAACAGAGAAGCGCUGUCGUUUGGCACAAACGGCAACAUACGAGAAGAGCUGCAACGGAUGGUUGAUACCCUUGAAUUCACUGUAGCUGGUACGAGGGAGUUUCUUUUCUUCUUGGAGUCAUAUCCUCGGAUCCUCCGCCAACCUUAUGGCACAUAUUUGCUAUUGGACAACUGCAUGUUUGGUCGCCAAACAGAACAAGAUCGGGUUCUGAAUUUCUUGCUUCAUCCUGGCGCUACUUCAGGCUUGGCUGCUGUACUUCCAAUUGUUGGGCCAAUAAGAGUAGGGAAGAGCACUCUUGUUGAGUAUAUCUGUAGGGAUGGGAGUGUGCGUGAUCACUUCUCAAUGAUCUUGUUCUUUCCACAAGGUAGUCUUAAGGAUGAAGGAGUGGUCAGACAUCAAAAUUCUGCUUCUCAAACCAGGUUGCUGAUUAUUGUUGAAAUGGCUGAGGACAUUAUUAAUGAAGGAACAUGGAGAAGGUUGAAAUCUUUGGCAACCAGCAUGACACCGCGCGGUGGGACCAAAUCAUAA
This 891-nucleotide ribosomal RNA is filed under the name Triticum aestivum (bread wheat). RNAcentral's name for it is "partial small subunit ribosomal RNA". Lineage: Eukaryota; Viridiplantae; Streptophyta; Magnoliopsida; Poales; Poaceae. The record is from RNAcentral.